RNAcentral lists this ribosomal RNA (253 nucleotides) under uncultured bacterium. RNAcentral's name for it is "partial 16S ribosomal RNA". It matches the Rfam family "Bacterial small subunit ribosomal RNA", at positions 524 to 776 of the family's 1533-position model. The record is from RNAcentral.
UACGGAGGGUGCGAGCGUUGUUCGGAAUCACUGGGCGUAAAGCGCGUGUAGGCGGCCUGCUAAGUCUGAUGUGAAAGCCCGAGGCUCACCCUCGGAAGUGCAUUGGAAACUGGCAGACUGGAGUCCCGGAGAGGAGGGUGGAAUUCCUGGUGUAGCGGUGAAAUGCGUAGAUAUUGGGAAGAACACCGGUGGCGAAGGCGGCCAUCUGGACCGGAACUGACGCUGAGGCGCGAAAGCCAGGGGAGCGAAUGGG